GACAUUCAGACAGAACCAUGACGGUGAGAGACUGGUGGUGAUGGUGUGUGUGUGUGUGUGUGUGUGACAUUCAGACAGACCCAUGACGGCGAGAGACUGAGACUGGUGGUGUGUGUGUGUGUGACAUUCAGACAGACCCAUGACGGUGAGAGACUGGUGGUGUGUGUGUGUGUGACAUUCAGACAGAACCAUGACGGUGAGAGACUGGUGGUGAUGGUGUGUGUGUGUGUGUGUGUGACAUUCAGACAGACCCAUGACGGCGAGAGACUGAGACUGGUGGUGUGUGUGUGUCUGACAUUCAGACAUACCCAUGACGGUGAGAGACUGGUGGUGAGGGUGUGUGUGUGUGACAUUCAGACAGACCCAUGACGGUGAGAGACUGGUGGUGAUGGUGUGUGUGUGUGACAUUCAGACAGACCCAUGAUGGUUAGAGACUGGUGGUGUGUGUGUGUGACAUUCAGACAGACCCAUGAUGGUGAGAGACUGGUGGUGGUGGUGUGUGUGUGUCUGACAUUCAGACAGACUCAUGACGGUGAGAGACUGGUGGUGUGUGUGUGUGUGUGUGACAUUCAGACAGACCCAUGACGGUGAGAGACUGGUGGUGAUGGUGUGUG
Oncorhynchus tshawytscha (Chinook salmon) is the source of this 614-nucleotide long non-coding RNA. The record is from Ensembl. Lineage: Eukaryota; Metazoa; Chordata; Actinopteri; Salmoniformes; Salmonidae.